Molecule: long non-coding RNA, 580 nt
Organism: Tarenaya hassleriana
Lineage: Eukaryota; Viridiplantae; Streptophyta; Magnoliopsida; Brassicales; Cleomaceae
Exons: 3
Source: RefSeq, a predicted model, not a curated record
AUUUUCAUUUUCCUAAUUAUUGGUUAAUAAAAAAUCGUCUGCACCGCCGCCUUCUCCGUCGACCGGAUCCGGCGAGCUCUCCGACAUCGUAGGCAUCUAGCGCCGAAGGAGCAGGGUCUGUGGUUGGGGACCCCGAUCGAUCUCGCCAUCGACGGAGAUGGUGUCGAUCCGAAUCUGGAACAGGUCAAAGGCCGAGGAGGCGGUGGAGAAGUUCGUCGUCGUGGCGGACGAGACGAAGCUAGUUUGGCGAUGCCGGUGGAGCUACAAUCUGAUCAGAUGGAAUUUGGCUGAGAACCGAUGGAGAUGGGAAACCCUACGUGACGGAUAACAGCUAUUACAUCGUGGUCUGUUUUAGGAUCUUUCCACUGGUGAAUAUGAAGAUGAAGAUGUGGAGGAUCAGUUACAUGAUGCCACCGACUCCUCCUCAUCCGAUGAAGGGGAAAGUGAUGACGGAACAAGAAGGUAGCUUGGUUUUAGCUUUCUUCUCAUAUGCAAAAGAUUCCAUUGCUCCAAUGUUAACAGGAGAUAAAAGUGAAACUGAAGAAUAUAUCCUGGGCAAUUGCGAGCUUAUCUUUGAAGC